UCCGUAGGUGAACCUGCGGAGGGAUCAUUACUGAGUUACCGCUCUAUAACCCUUUGUGAACAUACCUACAACUGUUGCUUCGGCGGGUAGGCCGUCCCCUGAAAAGGACGCCUCCCGGCCCGGACCGGACCCCCCGCGGGACCGGACCCGGCGCCCGCCGGAGGAUAACCAAACUCUAUUGUAACGACGUUUCUUCUGAGUGGCAUAAGCAAAAUAAUCAAAACUUUUAACAACGGAUCUCUUGGUUCUGGCAUCGAUGAAGAACGCAGCGAAAUGCGAUAAGUAAUGUGAAUUGCAGAAUUCAGUGAAUCAUCGAAUCUUUGAACGCACAUUGCGCCCGCCAGCAUUCUGGCGGGCAUGCCUGUUCGAGCGUCAUUUCAACCCUCAAGCUCUGCUUGGUGUUGGGGCUCUACGGUCGACGUAGGCCCUCAAAGGUAGUGGCGGACCCUCCCGGAGCCUCCUUUGCGUAGUAACAUUUCGUCUCGCACUGGGAUCGCGGAGGGACUCUUGCCGUAAAACCCCCCAAUUUUCCAAAGGUUGACCUCGGAUCAGGUAGGAAUACCCGCUGAACUUAAGCAUAUCAAUAAGUCGGAGGA
This 596-nucleotide ribosomal RNA is filed under the name Colletotrichum gloeosporioides. RNAcentral describes it as "eukaryotic LSU rRNA". The stretch from base 222 to 375 matches the Rfam family "5.8S ribosomal RNA". Lineage: Eukaryota; Fungi; Ascomycota; Sordariomycetes; Glomerellales; Glomerellaceae. The record is from RNAcentral.